UGGGGAAUCUUGCGCAAUGGGCGAAAGCCUGACGCAGCCAUGCCGCGUGAGUGAUGAAGGCCUUAGGGUUGUAAAACUCUUUCACCGGGGACGAUAAUGACGGUACCCGGAGAAGAAGCCCCGGCUAACUUCGUGCCAGCAGCCGCGGUAAUACGAAGGGGGCUAGCGUUGCUCGGAAUUACUGGGCGUAAAGGGCGCGUAGGCGGAUCAGCAAGUUGGGGGUGAAAGCCCGGGGCUCAACCUCGGAAUUGCCUUCAAAACUGCUGAUCUAGAGUACGGGAGAGGUGUGUGGAACUCCGAGUGUAGAGGUGAAAUUCGUAGAUAUUCGGAAGAACACCAGUGGCGAAGGCGACACACUGGCCCGUUACUGACGCUGAGGCGCGAAAGCGUGGGGAGCAAACAGGAUUAGAUACCCUGGUAGUCCACGCUGUAAACGAUGAUUGCUAGUUGUCGGCAGGCAUGCCUGUCGGUGACGCAGCUAACGCAUUAAGCAAUCCGCCUGGGGAGUACGGUCGCAAGAUUAAAAACUCAAAUGAAUUGACGGGGUCAUAGCUGUUUCCU
RNAcentral lists this ribosomal RNA (561 nucleotides) under uncultured bacterium. RNAcentral describes it as "partial 16S ribosomal RNA". It matches the Rfam family "Bacterial small subunit ribosomal RNA", at positions 355 to 1375 of the family's 1533-position model. The record is from RNAcentral.